UACGUAGGGUGCGAGCGUUGUCCGGAAUUACUGGGCGUAAAGGGCUCGUAGGUGGUUUGUCGCGUCGUCUGUGAAAUUCCGGGGCUUAACUCCGGGCGUGCAGGCGAUACGGGCAUAACUUGAGUACUGUAGGGGUAACUGGAAUUCCUGGUGUAGCGGUGAAAUGCGCAGAUAUCAGGAGGAACACCGAAUGGCGAAAGGGCAUGGUUACUGGGCGAG
Molecule: ribosomal RNA, 219 nt
Filed under: uncultured bacterium
Lineage: Bacteria
Description: partial 16S ribosomal RNA
Rfam family: Bacterial small subunit ribosomal RNA
Source: RNAcentral